Molecule: ribosomal RNA, 447 nt
Filed under: uncultured bacterium
Lineage: Bacteria
Description: bacterial SSU rRNA
Rfam family: Bacterial small subunit ribosomal RNA
Source: RNAcentral
AACGAACGCUGGCGGCAGGCCUAACACAUGCAAGUCGAACGCUCCGCAAGGGAGUGGCAGACGGGUGAGUAACACGUGGGAAUCUUCCUGUUGGUGCGGAAUAGCUCAGGGAAACUUGGGGUAAUACCGCAUAAGCCCGAGAGGGGAAAGAUUUAUCGCCGACAGAUGAGCCCGCGUCUGAUUAGCUAGUUGGUGAGGUAAUGGCUCACCAAGGCGACGAUCAGUAGCUGGUCUGAGAGGAUGACCAGCCACACUGGGACUGAGACACGGCCCAGACUCCUACGGGAGGCAGCAGUGGGGAAUAUUGGACAAUGGGCGCAAGCCUGAUCCAGCCAUGCCGCGUGAGUGACGAAGGUCUUCGGAUUGUAAAGCUCUUUUACCAGGGACGAUAAUGACGGUACCUGGAGAAUAAGCCCCGGCUAACUUCGUGCCAGCCGCCGCAGUAAG